AUUGAACGCUGGCGGCAGGCCUAACACAUGCAAGUCGAACGAGUGGCGGACGGGUGAGUAAUGUCUGGGAAACUGCCUUAUGGCGGGGGAUAACUACUGGAAACGGUAGCUAAUCCCGCAUACCAUCAAAUGUGCCCAGAUGGGAUUAGCCUGUUGGUGGGGUAACGGCUCACCAAGGCGACGAUCCAUAGCUGGUCUGAGAGGGUGACCAGCCACACUGGAACGGAGACACGGUCCAGACUCCUACGGGAGGCAGCAGUGGGGAAUAUUGCACAAUGGGCGCAAGCCUGAUGCAGCCAUGCCGCGUGAAUGAAGAAGGCCUUCGGGUUGUAAAGUACUUUCAGCGGGGAGGCGUUACCCGCAGAAGAAGCACCGGCUAACUCCGUGCCAGCCGCCGCGGUAAUUC
Molecule: ribosomal RNA, 406 nt
Filed under: uncultured bacterium
Lineage: Bacteria
Description: partial 16S ribosomal RNA
Rfam family: Bacterial small subunit ribosomal RNA
Source: RNAcentral